GACAGAAGAUGGCGGAUGAGCAGCGUGCAGGGUUUUCUCCCUGUGGCUCACUCUCUCUUACUGUGCUGGGCGGUUGCUUCCUCUCCUGCUGCCCUUGGGAGUCAGACUCCAGGUUCUUCAGCCUGUGGCCCCUGGGGCUCUCGGGCCUUGGAGGACUGACUAGGAGCACACGGUGGGCCUCUCUGGUUUGGGGGCCUGGGACGUGGCGGAGCCCUGCAGCUUCUGUGCGGCCUGUUCUGGGCGUCGCGUUGAAACGCCAGCCAGUUCCCCAAGAUGGACGUAGAACUACUCUAGGAAAUUCCUCAAACACUGCCAAGUACUUCAUGGCUGAAAGCCAAAUAUUCAGUCCCCCUGGGAUUACAGGAGUGUUGAAGAAAUGUUGUGACACAUCAGAACACCGCGAAAUACAUGGACACUUUCAAAUCAUGGAAGACUCAAGGGUCAGGAGGGCAUCUUUCUCGGCUCUUCACUGUGAGAACCUUGUGGGAUUCCUGAAGAUGAAACCAUGAACGCGAGGGAGUCUUGCUAAAACUGCAGCAUUCGAGAGGUUUUCACUCAUGCUGGCUCACACUUGUCCUCUAGCAAUUCAUCAAAAUUACCACGUAAGUGUUUCAACAGUUUAUGGCUCAGGUGGCCUCAGCUGUGAUGCUCCAAAUUUGCCUGUUUCUCCAGAUGCAGGGUAGCAGUUUGCUGUUUCUCCUGAGUUCUUUGAUGGAUUCAAGAAAAGUCAUGAUUUUCAGUUUGUUCUGAUUUUUUCUUGUGAGGGCAAAGUAAUGACUAAGCUUUAAUGUGUUUCAGCUAAAACUACAUGUAUUUUAAUAGCAAAAUGAGAUAUAAUUCACAUGUCAUAAAAGUCACCAUUUUUGGGUGCACAACUCAUUGGAUUUUAGUAUAUUCCAGGGUUAUGCAAGAAUAAAUAUUCUCUAAUUUUGGAACAUAUUUAUCUACUCAGAAAGAAACUUUGUGCUCAUUAACAGUUACUUAAUAUUCUCUCUCCCCUAACCUAUGGUAACUACUAGUCGACUUGCUAUAGAUUAGGUUACUUUGGAUAUUUCAUAUAUGUUGAAUCAUAAAAUAUGUGCCUUGGCUUCUUUCACUUACCGUAAUAUUUACAAAAUUCAUUCAUCUUACAAAGUACUUCAUUCUAUUUUUGAUUUUAUGGGUUAAUAAUAUUCUACUGUCUGGCUAUAUACAUGUAUGAAUAAUGUGGCAACAUUUUGUCCAUACACUCAUCAUGUGAUUAGUAUUUGCUUUGUUGUUGUUGUGUGUUUUUUAUUUUUCAGUUAUUAUGAAUAAUGAUUAUGAAUUCAGUUAUUAUGAAUAACUACAAUAAAUAGUUAUGCAUAA
Molecule: long non-coding RNA, 1347 nt
Filed under: Homo sapiens (human)
Lineage: Eukaryota; Metazoa; Chordata; Mammalia; Primates; Hominidae
Description: long intergenic non-protein coding RNA 1446
Source: RNAcentral